UAUCUCCAUUUGUUAACUUAAGUUUUUGGAUUGGUUCCCUAGAGCCAGUUGCAAAGAGCUUGGUGAUUGGUACCCGAGGUCCCAGGUUCUCGAAUCCUAGUUGAUUCACAUUUCCAGCUAAGUUUAUUUCUAAAUGAAAUAAACGAAGUGGGUAGCGUGCUAUCUGUCUCUCAAAAAAAAAUAAAAAAAAAAGUUUUUGGAUUGGUUCAAGUCAGUUAA
RNAcentral lists this long non-coding RNA (219 nucleotides) under Ananas comosus (pineapple). RNAcentral describes it as "long non-coding RNA (ACOM_LNC035831)". Lineage: Eukaryota; Viridiplantae; Streptophyta; Magnoliopsida; Poales; Bromeliaceae. The record is from RNAcentral.